UACAGAGGGGGCAAGCGUUGUUCAGAAUUACUGGGCGUAAAGGGCGCGUAGGCGGCCUGCUAAGUCGAACGUGAAAUCCCCGGGCUCAACCCGGGAACUGCGUCCGAUACUGGCAGGCUUGAAUCCGGGAGAGGGAUGUGGAAUUCCAGGUGUAGCGGUGAAAUGCGUAGAUAUCUGGAGGAACACCGGUGGCGAAGGCGGCAUCCUGGACCGGUAUUGACGCUGAGGCACGAAAGCGUGGGGAGCAAACAGG
Molecule: ribosomal RNA, 253 nt
Filed under: uncultured bacterium
Lineage: Bacteria
Description: partial 16S ribosomal RNA
Rfam family: Bacterial small subunit ribosomal RNA
Source: RNAcentral